GCAUGGGUUUGGAUUUAUGACAGGCCCAUCCCCCGGACCUCUCAUAGUGCCCCAUGCCAGAGCAAACUGGCCCCGAACCAUUGCCUGGCUUCUGUUCCCGUGGGCCACUGGCACUGAAGAGGGUUACACAGUG
This is a small nucleolar RNA of Pongo abelii (Sumatran orangutan), 133 nucleotides long. The record is from Ensembl. NCBI's taxonomy places the organism in Eukaryota, Metazoa, Chordata, Mammalia, Primates, Hominidae.